GAAUUUCACACAGAAUCGUUACCUUGUCUAUUCCACAUUAAAGUAUAUAUACAAGGCAAAGCCCGGACUUUCAAGACUAACUAGAAAGCCCGGACAAAACAUAUAGCACAAAGCUCAGACCUUUUGCCUAGACAAAACUCAGACAAAGGCUACACAAACAAACCCUGACCUUAGUCCUAUACAAAAACUCUGACUAAAGAAACCAUUCUAAAACUUGGACAAAAGUCCCUAGGAUAAACUUGGGACUAUCUUUUACAAAUGUACAAUAAAGACCCUAAUAAAUUAGGAGACAUGCACUUAUCACCUAAAGUGCAUUAACAGAAAGUGACAUGUUUGUUGUGACUGGGGAAGUUGAGUGGGAUAAUCAUAAAGUUCAACAAUCUAUGAUAAAAGUUGCAGUCGUAGUUAGCAAGCUACUUGAUUCAACUUGGGGUAAGUUUCUCUAACUUGUGUCAACAAUCGAACAAUACUUAGACAUUGAUACAUCGUUCAAAUAGGGCAAUCGGGUGGUUAAAAGCAUAUGCGGAAUGGAUCUUAAAUAAGAAAACAGUAUCUGACAACUCUCGGAACACUUCAAUGGGAAUGGUAAGAGAAAAAUAAGGUCUAUCACUAAUGGUACAGUUGUAGCGGUUCACCUGUGGCUUGCAAGAUGGACCAAAUCAGUGCGAGACAAAUCACACAUUAUGUUUUUUAACUAUGAAGAAUGCAAGCACUACGCAUCCAAGUACCCAAAUCAAGAAAGUGAAGUGGGUGAAGCAUAUAGCUUGCUCAAGUUGAAGAUGAUGAAGAACCCGCUCUACUGAUGAUUGUAUGCAAGCAAAAGGAACAACGUGAGGUGUUGUGAGAUGGUGAUGGGGCAAGUGGCAAUUCAAAGGGUGCUAUGGAUCCAGAGUUGAAGGCGAAUUAAAGAGAUGAGGUUAAUUGUAAGUUUAUGGGUUUGCUAAUUUAGUCAAGUUAGAGUUAUAGUAGGAUCAGUGUUUGUUUCGUUUAAAAUAUGAAAGCUCAUAUUGUAAUUAUUUUGUCGUGGGUUUUUAAAUAAUAAGAAAAAGGUCGCAGCAGGUUGUUACAAAAAAUCUUCCUCUUGAAAUUAUUCAUAUACCAUUUAUGUCAAAUAUGGUCUUCUUGAAGACAAAUGAAGCUGCCUUAUCAAUAAUUGAUUGAAUAGGGAAAAUCUUUAAGUAUCAACUCAUAGGCUGUGGGCAUAGUUUCCUAAAAGUACAACCACACAAUAAAUGAACGUCCACACAAGACGGACUAUUAGUACAAUUUACAUCAAAUGCAUGCAGGGCAGUUGAUGUGGCUAGGAUAACAUAUCAGAAUCAGGGACGUAGCGUGUCAAGAUACAUAAACCCCAAUGUUUUAAAAAAAAAUCGUAGGAUUGGUAUGUUAAAUUUUUCAAGGACGUCAUAAAAUAAAUUAGUUGGACCCUAUAAUAGUAAAAGCAAAGAUUGUAUUGUGGUAAAUCUCCUUGUGUUCCAACAAGUUAGUUUCAAGUUCAAGUCUUACAUCUGUUGUUUUUAAGUUUAUAUUUUCCAUCAAAAUUAAACUAGUGUAUUAAAACACCACAACCACCCAUUGAUCCUCUAAUUUGGUUUUUUAAAAUGAUAAAUUUAAUGUCUCCAAAUAAUUUUAUUUCACAUUUGAUUACCAAAUAUGACUUUCAACAUAUAGUGGCGUUCAAAAAAAAAAAAAAAAAAAAAAAAAAACUUAAACAAAUUUUUGAAGUUAUGUGAAGUAGUUGUGUUGUUUAGUUAGUUAUUGGUUUCAAACAACUUAUUAAUCACCACAAUUUGUUAACUUGAUUCUUAAAAAUGGUUCUUAAUAAUGUAGUGGUUUCAUGUCCACUAAAUGCUUCUAUAUUAUUUCCUAGCCCCGACCCGACCCGACUAUGAUGACCGACCCGAAUAUUUUAAUGUUUGGUUGUGAAAAAUUCUAACGCAAAAAAUGGACCCUAAUGAAACAAAAUACUAGGUCCGCCACUUGUCAGAAGUCGAAAUUUUAAUUUUCAGGAUUGUCUAAACAUCCCCCAUCUCGUACUAAACAUACCACUCUACGUGACAGAGUAUAUCUUUUUAAUGGUGAACCUCUUCUCUAAGUUUGUGAGAGUCUCGAUAAGGCUCGCAAGUUGA
RNAcentral lists this long non-coding RNA (2129 nucleotides) under Helianthus annuus (common sunflower). RNAcentral describes it as "hypothetical non coding rna". The record is from RNAcentral. Lineage: Eukaryota; Viridiplantae; Streptophyta; Magnoliopsida; Asterales; Asteraceae.